UUGCUAAGGCCGAUGGCGACCGGCGCACGGGUGAGUAACACGUAUCCAACCUGCCGUCUACUCUUGGACAGCCUUCUGAAAGGAAGAUUAAUACAGGAUGGCAUCAUGAGUCCGCAUGUUCACAUGAUUAAAGGUAUUCCGGUAGACAAUGGGGAUGCGUUCCAUUAGAUAGUAGGCGGGGUAACGGCCCACCUAGUCUUCGAUGGAUAGGGGUUCUGAGAGGAAGGUCCCCCACAUUGGAACUGAGACACGGUCCAAACUCCUACGGGAGGCAGCAGUGAGGAAUAUUGGUCAAUGGGCGAGAGCCUGAACCAGCCAAGUAGCGUGAAGGAUGACUGCCCUAUGGGUUGUAAACUUCUUUUAUAAAGGAAUAAAGUCGGGUAUGCAUACCCGUUUGCAUGUACUUUAUGAAUAAGGAUCGGCUAACUCCGUGCCAGCAGCCGCGGUAAUACGGAGGAUCCGAGCGUUAUCCGGAUUUAUUGGGUUUAAAGGGAGCGUAGAUGGAUGUUUAAGUCAGUUGUGAAAGUUUGCGGCUCAACCGUAAAAUUGCAG
RNAcentral lists this ribosomal RNA (552 nucleotides) under uncultured Bacteroidales bacterium. RNAcentral's name for it is "bacterial SSU rRNA". It matches the Rfam family "Bacterial small subunit ribosomal RNA", at positions 75 to 626 of the family's 1533-position model. The record is from RNAcentral. Lineage: Bacteria; Pseudomonadati; Bacteroidota; Bacteroidia; Bacteroidales.